CAUUUUCAAGUACUAUUCAUUUACAAAAAGGUGGAUAUGUUCCAUGGGUGUCAGUAUGUUGGUAUUUGGAAUGAUUUAUUCGUCUCACCUGCUAAUUUUGCUUUCAGUACAUCGAUUGAGACAAGUGUGUAUGUCAUUGAGACCACAGAUGACACAACAGUCGGUAAAAUACUGGAUUAUUGGUUGCUUUUUGGCUGCAAUAAGUUUUACAUCUCCAAAGCCCGAAUUACAGUUCCACGAACAGAUAAACUUUAGAAAUAACAUAACUGGACAUAUUUGCCCUAUUUCAUCCUCCCAGCCGUCCAAAUAUGCCGUCAUCUAUAGUUAUUUUUCACUUUUAUUGUUUGCAUUUUAUGCCAUUAUCCUGGUCGUAAUCUACCUGACCAUUGGCAUACGAAUGUACAUUCAUUACCAAGAUAGACGGAGGAAAAGUGUAAAUACUAUUGAAGAAAAUAUUUCCAGUAAAAUGACCAAAAUAACAUUAACCGUAUCCAUAAUUUUUACACUGAGUUAUCUACCGGUGUUUUUGCUUCAGAUCACGUUACCGUCGAUACAAGCGGACAAAUUAAACUAUAUCCAGAAAGCAAUUUUGCGCAUACUUGAACAGUGUUACGUCAUUAACCACGUAGCUAAUCCUUUUAUUUACAGCAUUUUCGAUGAAUCCUUUCGGAAAAACUUCAUCCGGCUAGUAUUAUGUAAGUUCGUUAAACCAAAAAAGACGAAAACCAAUGUUUUAGAAUCUGCCGUAACAGCAUCAUCUGUAGUGUUAGAGUCAAUGAUAUAGCAUAGCAUUUCCCUUUUCGUAUUAUACUGCAGGUACAACUAAUCAAAAAGCUUUGGGAAUUAAAAAACUUAUUCAAAGCAUUGUACAAAUAUGAUUUGUUAUGUAUAUGAUUUGAGAUUAGCAAGUUUAAUUACAAAUGUAUUUUGUUUCAAAAAUGUUGCAUUUUGCAAUAGAAAGACAACCA
RNAcentral lists this long non-coding RNA (968 nucleotides) under Mytilus galloprovincialis (Mediterranean mussel). Lineage: Eukaryota; Metazoa; Mollusca; Bivalvia; Mytilida; Mytilidae. The record is from RNAcentral.